This 465-nucleotide ribosomal RNA is filed under the name Vreelandella stevensii. RNAcentral describes it as "partial 16S ribosomal RNA". It matches the Rfam family "Bacterial small subunit ribosomal RNA", at positions 338 to 795 of the family's 1533-position model. The record is from RNAcentral. Lineage: Bacteria; Pseudomonadati; Pseudomonadota; Gammaproteobacteria; Oceanospirillales; Halomonadaceae.
CCUACGGGGGGCUGCAGUGGGGAAUAUUGGACAAUGGGGGCAACCCUGAUCCAGCCAUGCCGCGUGUGUGAAGAAGGCCCUCGGGUUGUAAAGCACUUUCAGUGAGGAAGAACGCCUGGUGGUUAAUACCCAUCAGGAAAGACAUCACUCACAGAAGAAGCACCGGCUAACUCCGUGCCAGCAGCCGCGGUAAUACGGAGGGUGCGAGCGUUAAUCGGAAUUACUGGGCGUAAAGCGCGCGUAGGUGGCUUGAUAAGCCGGUUGUGAAAGCCCCGGGCUCAACCUGGGAACGACAUCCGGAACUGUCAAGCUAGAGUGCAGGAGAGGAAGGUAGAAUUCCCGGUGUAGCGGUGAAAUGCGUAGAGAUCGGGAGGAAUACCAGUGGCGAAGGCGGCCUUCUGGACUGACACUGACACUGAGGUGCGAAAGCGUGGGUAGCAAACAGGAUUAGAUACCCGAGUAGUC